UACGGGGGGGCAAGCGUUGUUCGGAAUUACUGGGCGUAAAGGGUUUGUAGGUGGUCUGUUAAGUCAGACGUGAAAUCCCUCAGCUUAACUGGGGAACUGCGUCUGAGACUGAUGACUUGAGGGCAGGAGAGGAACGCGGAAUUCCAGGUGUAGCGGUGAAAUGCGUAGAUAUCUGGAGGAACACCGGUGGCGAAGGCGGCGUUCUGGACUGUUUCUGACACUGUAAACGAAAGCCAGGGAGCAAACGGGG
RNAcentral lists this ribosomal RNA (250 nucleotides) under uncultured bacterium. RNAcentral's name for it is "partial 16S ribosomal RNA". It matches the Rfam family "Bacterial small subunit ribosomal RNA", at positions 524 to 777 of the family's 1533-position model. The record is from RNAcentral.